GUUCCUGUAGCACAAUAGGUAGCGCAUUGGUCUUCCAAUCCGAAGGUCGUGGUUUCGAAUCCCACCUGGGAUG
Molecule: non-coding RNA, 73 nt
Organism: Trichonephila clavipes
Lineage: Eukaryota; Metazoa; Arthropoda; Arachnida; Araneae; Nephilidae
Source: the annotation of a GenBank genome assembly